AUUGAACGCUGGCGGCAGGCCUAACACAUGCACGUCGAACGAGUGGCGGACGGGUGAGUAAUGUCUGGGAAACUGCCUGAUGGAGGGGUAUAACUACUGGAAACGGUAGCUAAUACCGCAUACCAUCGGAUGUGCCCCGAUGGGAUUAGCUAGUAGGUGGGGUAAAGGCUCACCUAGGCGACGAUCCCUAGCUGGUCUGAGAGGAUGACCAUCGACACUGGAACUGAGACACGGUACAGAAUCCUACGGGAGGAGUCAGGGGGUAAUAUGGCACAAUGGGCGCAAGCCUGAUGCAGCCAUGCCGCGGGUAUGAAGAAGGCCUUCGGGGUGUAAAGUACUUUCAGCUGUGAGGCGUUACCCGCAGAAGAAGCACCGGCUAACUCCGGGCCAGCAGCGGCGGUAGUUC
RNAcentral lists this ribosomal RNA (406 nucleotides) under uncultured bacterium. Its description in RNAcentral is "partial 16S ribosomal RNA". It matches the Rfam family "Bacterial small subunit ribosomal RNA", at positions 30 to 526 of the family's 1533-position model. The record is from RNAcentral.